AGUGAACGCUGGCGCUAGGCCUAACACAUGCAAGUCGAACGGCAGCACAGUAAGAGCUUGCUCUUACGGGUGGCGAGUGGCGGACGGGUGAGGAAUACAUCGGAAUCUACUUUUUCGUGGGGGAUAACGUAGGGAAACUUACGCUAAUACCGCAUACGACCUACGGGUGAAAGCAGGGGAUCUUCGGACCUUGCGCGAUUGAAUGAGCCGAUGUCGGAUUAGCUAGUUGGCGGGGUAAAGGCCCACCAAGGCGACGAUCCGUAGCUGGUCUGAGAGGAUGAUCAGCCACACUGGAACUGAGACACGGUCCAGACUCCUACGGGAGGCAGCAGUGGGGAAUAUUGGACAAUGGGCGCAAGCCUGAUCCAGCCAUACCGCGUGGGUGAAGAAGGCCUUCGGGUUGUAAAGCCCUUUUGUUGGGAAAGAAAAGCAGCAGGUUAAUACCCCGCUGUUCCGACGGUACCCAAAGAAUAAGCACCGGCUAACUUCGUG
RNAcentral lists this ribosomal RNA (492 nucleotides) under uncultured bacterium. RNAcentral's name for it is "partial 16S ribosomal RNA". It matches the Rfam family "Bacterial small subunit ribosomal RNA", at positions 29 to 507 of the family's 1533-position model. The record is from RNAcentral.